Molecule: ribosomal RNA, 465 nt
Filed under: uncultured bacterium
Lineage: Bacteria
Description: partial 16S ribosomal RNA
Rfam family: Bacterial small subunit ribosomal RNA
Source: RNAcentral
CCUACGGGGGGCAGCAGUGGGGAAUAUUGCGCAAUGGGCGAAAGCCUGACGCAGCGACACCGCGUGAGGGAUGAAGGUCUUCGGAUCGUAAACCUCUGUCAGCAGGGAAGAACGGUCACUGUGCUAAUCAGCAGUGAAUUGACGGUACCUGCAAAGGAAGCACCGGCUAACUCCGUGCCAGCAGCCGCGGUAAUAAGGAGGAGGUGAGCGUUAAUCGGAAUUACUGGGCGUAAAGGGCUCGUAGGCGGUAUGGUAAGUCAAGGGUGAAAUCCCCGCGCUCAACGUGGGAACUGCCUUUGAAACUGGCAAACUGGAGUGUGGUAGAGGGAAGUGGAAUUCCAGGUGUAGGAGUGAAAUCCGUAGAUAUCUGGAGGAACAUCAGUGGCGAAGGCGACUAUCUGGCACAUAACUGACGCUGAGGAGCGAAAGCGUGGGUAGCAAACAGGAUUAGAUACCCUAGUAGUC